This 370-nucleotide ribosomal RNA is filed under the name uncultured organism. Its description in RNAcentral is "partial 16S ribosomal RNA". It matches the Rfam family "Bacterial small subunit ribosomal RNA", at positions 527 to 896 of the family's 1533-position model. The record is from RNAcentral.
AGAGGGUGCGAGCGUUAAUCGGAAUUACUGGGCGUAAAGGGUGCGUAGGUGGUUUUAUAAGUCAGAUGUGAAAGCCCCGGGCUUAACCUGGGAACUGCAUUUGAAACUAUGAGGCUAGAGUACGGUAGAGGGAAGUGGAAUUUCCGGUGUAGCGGUGAAAUGCGUAGAUGUCGGAAGGAACAUCAGUGGCGAAGGCGACUUCCUGGACCGAAACUGACACUGAGGCACGAAAGCGUGGGGAGCGAACAGGAUUAGAUACCCUGGUAGUCCACGCCGUAAACGAUGAGAACUAGAUGUUAGGUGGCUAGUCCACUUAGUAUUGUAGCUAACGCGUUAAGUUCUCCGCCUGGGGAGUACGGCCGCAAGGUUA